RNAcentral lists this long non-coding RNA (315 nucleotides) under Setaria viridis. Its description in RNAcentral is "long non-coding RNA (SVIR_LNC002353)". The record is from RNAcentral. Lineage: Eukaryota; Viridiplantae; Streptophyta; Magnoliopsida; Poales; Poaceae.
GUAGAGCAGCACAUCCCUCUAUCUCCCUGUUCUCCUUUCUCCUUUCUGCUCCACGCAGACGCCACUCUGCUCAAAUAUUUCUGUCGUAGGCACUCGCUCUCUCCCUUGUUGCUCCAUCCCGCAAAAUGGAUUGGUGAGGUGCCCCCAUUCCACAACGGGAUGCUCCGCUUUCCCCCCCGCACACAAGCAACUUAGCGCACACUGGCGCCUUGCUGGCACUCAUGCGCGGCACUGUUUCGCCCAACCAAGCCCGAUGCUCGCCGCGUGGCCUCAAGCUCGCAAACCAAAGAUCACCGGCCGUCCAUCCUAAAGGAG